GGAGUACAGCCGUAAGAUUAAACUCAAAUNNAUUGACGGGGGUCGCCAAGCGUGGAGCAUGUGUUUAAUUGAUGCAACGCGAAGAACCUUACCUACUCUUGACAUCCAGAGAACUUAGCGGGGAUGCUUUGGUGCCUUCGGGAACUCUGAGACAGGUGCUGCAUGGCUGUCGUCAGCUCGUGUUGUGAAAUGUUGGGUUAAGUCCCGCAACGAGCGCAACCCUUAUCCUUUGUUGCCAGCGGUUCGGCCGGGAACUCAAAGGAGACUGCCAGUGAUAAACUGGAGGAAGGUGGGGAUGACGUCAAGUCAUCAUGGCCCUUACGAGUAGGGCUACACACGUGCUACAAUGGCGCAUACAAAGAGAAGCGACCUCGCGAGAGCAAGCGGACCUCAUAAAGUGCGUCGUAGUCCGGAUUGGAGUCUGCAACUCGACUCCAUGAAGUCGGAAUCGCUAGUAAUCGUGGAUCAGAAUGCCACGGUGAAUACGUUCCCGGGCCUUGUACACACCGCCCGUCACACCAUGGGAGUGGGUUGCAAAAGAAGUAGGUAGCUUAAUU
RNAcentral lists this ribosomal RNA (557 nucleotides) under Enterobacter cloacae. RNAcentral's name for it is "bacterial SSU rRNA". It matches the Rfam family "Bacterial small subunit ribosomal RNA", at positions 877 to 1440 of the family's 1533-position model. Lineage: Bacteria; Pseudomonadati; Pseudomonadota; Gammaproteobacteria; Enterobacterales; Enterobacteriaceae. The record is from RNAcentral.